AUUGUGACCCGCCUCUCUCCUGGGGAACCUGGGGGCCUACAGUCCCCCUGGUACUUCCAGGCCCCCGUGGGCUGCGGGCAGAGUCCCAGGAGCCAAAGGACCUCUCAGGAAAGGCUGGAAGUUAGCCUUGCAGUCAGCCAGCUUCUGCCUGUUGCUGUCAUUUUCUUUCUGGAGCACCUGGAGCACUCUCUCAGUGGCUGUGGUGGCCAUGCAGCCCUCCCGGGCCAUUUAUCAUGGAAGAACAUCUCCCUCUGAAAGCUGGAACUGUCUUUCUUCAAUUCACGGUAGAGACGGGUUUUCGCCAUGUUGGCCCAGAUGGCCUUGAUCUCCUGACCUCGUGAUCUGCCUGCCUCGGCCUCCCAAAGUGCUGGGAUUAUAGGCAUGAGCCACUGCACCCGGACUUCAGAGACUCUUAAACCAAAGGCAUAAGUUCUCAGUCAAAUCAA
Molecule: long non-coding RNA, 446 nt
Filed under: Homo sapiens (human)
Lineage: Eukaryota; Metazoa; Chordata; Mammalia; Primates; Hominidae
Description: HSALNT0347428
Source: RNAcentral